Molecule: ribosomal RNA, 468 nt
Filed under: uncultured bacterium
Lineage: Bacteria
Description: partial 16S ribosomal RNA
Rfam family: Bacterial small subunit ribosomal RNA
Source: RNAcentral
GACGAACGCUGGCGGCGUGCUUAACACAUGCAAGUCGAACGGAAGGGCCCUGCUUUUGUGGGGUGCUCGAGUGGCGAACGGGUGAGUAACACGUGAGUAACCUGCCCUUGACUUUGGGAUAACUUCAGGAAACUGGGGCUAAUACCGGAUAGGAGCUCCUGCUGCAUGGUGGGGGUUGGAAAGUUUCGGCGGUUGGGGAUGGACUCGCGGCUUAUCAGCUUGUUGGUGGGGUAGUGGCUUACCAAGGCUUUGACGGGUAGCCGGCCUGAGAGGGUGACCGGCCACAUUGGGACUGAGAUACGGCCCAGACUCCUACGGGAGGCAGCAGUGGGGAAUAUUGCACAAUGCGCGGAAGCCUGAUGCAGCAACGCCGCGUGCGGGAUGACGGCCUUCGGGUUGUAAACCGCUUUCGCCUGUGACGAAGCGUGAGUGACGGUAAUGGGUAAAGAAGCACCGGCUAACUACGUG